AGAUGUGAGCAUGAUCUGGCUGCCACAUCUGACACCCUGUUGAUCACCAGGGUUGAUACAGCUGUUCUGGCUGGGUAGGUGGGUGUCCCUUUCCUCCUCACUGCUCCAUGUAUGUCCCUCCUGAAGCUCUGUGCUCAGUUGGAGAGGACCACCUUCCCCAGUAGAGGAAGUCCGGGGCAUAUGUAGCUGCGCUCCCCACUAGAACCUCCAAACAAGCUCUCAAAGUCCAUUUGUAGGAGAACAUAGGGUAGUCAAGCUUCCAAGACCCUAGACACAGCCAAACAAGGUGCUAUGUGGCAGUCUGCCUUUCCUC
Molecule: small nuclear RNA, 313 nt
Filed under: Mustela putorius furo (domestic ferret)
Lineage: Eukaryota; Metazoa; Chordata; Mammalia; Carnivora; Mustelidae
Description: 7SK RNA (ENSMPUG00000021480.1)
Rfam family: 7SK RNA
About the family: 7SK was discovered as an abundant small nuclear RNA in the mid-70s but a possible function has only recently been suggested. Two independent studies have found that 7SK RNA binds the CDK9/cyclin T complex (known as elongation factor P-TEFb). P-TEFb activates transcription by phosphorylating the C-terminal domain of RNA polymerase II.
Source: Rfam by way of RNAcentral